CUCCGGUGAUCCCUGCCGGUCCCAGCAAUACCCGAGGAACGCGACAUCCGCGGCGCCGAGGCCGAGAAGCUCGGCCUUGAGCGGUCCAUCCCCGGCGACGAUGAGCCUGACCGGGAUCGGCCACAGGAGCGUCCGCGCCGUGGCGAAGGCACCGAGCACCGCUUCGACAUUCUUCUCGGGCGCGACACGGCCCACGUAGAUGAACGUGAACGCGUCCUCGAGCCCGAGCCGGCGCCGGAGGCUCGGCCGCCGCCUCGCGGGCUGAAAGCAAUCGAUGUCGACGCCGCGGCCCCACACCUCGACCCGAGUGACGCCGCGCCCGAGCAGCUCGGUUCGAGCCGCGUCGGACGGCGUAUAGGUUCGCCGGGCGCGCCGGUGGAAGCGGACCAGGUAGCGCGCCACCACGGAGGCGAGCCGGGGCACACCGUACGCGGCGGCGUACCGGGCGAAGUCGGUGUGGUAAGAGGUGACGACGGGAAUGCCGCGCCGCCGCGCCGCCAGGGCGCCCAUCUGCCCGAUCAUGAACUCGGUCGAGCAAUGGACCAGGUCGGGGCGGGACUCAUCCACCGCCCGCGCCACGGUUCGAUAGAACGGCGCGGCCAGACGGAUCUCGCCGUAGCCGGGACAGGGCCAGCUCGCGAUCCCGAUCAGGGGAUCGGGGACGGGGGGCUCAUGCGGGGGCGCGGUGCCGUUCGGAUAGGCCGGAGCGACGACGCCGACGUCCCAACCCCGGCGGAUCAGGCCCCGGACCGAGACGGCGGUGACCGUGGAGACUCCGUUGAUCUGCGGGGGGUAGGUAUCGGUGCAGUAGAGGACGCGCAUCGGCCCCAAGAUCGCGGCGUUAGGUCACAGUCAUCACCAGGGAAUGGCGGGGGAGCA
This 879-nucleotide ribosomal RNA is filed under the name uncultured archaeon. Its description in RNAcentral is "partial 16S ribosomal RNA". The record is from RNAcentral.